GCCUAGCCCUAAACACAAAUGCCCCCAUAUUACACCAUUCGCCAGGGAACAACGAGCCCCAGCUUAAAACCCAAAGGACUUGGCGGUGCUUUAGACCCCCCUAGAGGAGCCUGUUCUAGAAUCGAUACUCCCCGUUCAACCUCACCCUCCCUUGUUUUCCCCGCCUAUAUACCGCCGUCGUCAGCUUACCCUGUGAAGGAUAAAUAGUAAGCAAAAUUGGCAAAGCCCAAAACGUCAGGUCAAGGUGUAGCGCACGGGAGGGGAAGAAAUGGGCUACAUUUACUGAAUCAGUAAAAACGGAUUUUGCACUGAAAUGAGCAUCUGAAGGAGGAUUUAGCAGUAAGAAGUGAACAGAGCGCACUUCUGAAAACGGCCCUGAAGCGCGCACACACCGCCCGUCACUCUCCCCGAAAAACCAUAAAAGAUAACUAAUACUUCUUCCACAAAGAAGGGGAGGCAAGUCGUAACAUGGUAAGUGUACCGGAAGGUGCACUUGGAAAAACC
Molecule: ribosomal RNA, 504 nt
Filed under: Microgobius gulosus (clown goby)
Lineage: Eukaryota; Metazoa; Chordata; Actinopteri; Gobiiformes; Gobiidae
Description: partial 12S ribosomal RNA
Rfam family: Bacterial small subunit ribosomal RNA
Source: RNAcentral